Molecule: ribosomal RNA, 423 nt
Filed under: uncultured bacterium
Lineage: Bacteria
Description: bacterial SSU rRNA
Rfam family: Bacterial small subunit ribosomal RNA
Source: RNAcentral
AAGACCUUGCGCUUUUGGAGCGGCCGAUGUCUGAUUAGCUAGUUGGUGGGGUAAAGGCCUACCAAAGCUUCGAUCAGUAGCUGGUCUGAGAGGACGACCAGCCACACUGGGACUGAGACACGGCCCAGACUCCUACGGGAGGCAGCAGUGGGGAAUUUUGGACAAUGGGCGCAAGCCUGAUCCAGCCAUGCCGCGUGAGUGAAGAAGGCCUUCGGGUUGUAAAGCUCUUUCAGCCGGGAAGAAAAGACCGCGACUAAUAAUCGCGGUUCAUGACGGUACCGGAAGAAGAAGCACCGGCUAACUACGUGCCAGCAGCCGCGGUAAUACGUAGGGUGCGAGCGUUAAUCGGAAUUACUGGGCGUAAAGGGUGCGCAGGCGGUCUUGUAAGUCAGAUGUGAAAUCCCCGGGCUUAACCUGGGAACU